GACGAACGCUGGCGGCGUGCUUAACACAUGCAAGUCGAACGCUGAAGCACCAGCUUGCUGGUGUGGAUGAGUGGCGAACGGGUGAGUAAUACGUGAGUAACCUGCCCUUGACUCUGGGAUAAGCCCGGGAAACUGGGUCUAAUACUGGAUGCUACAUGUCACCGCAUGGUGGUGUGUGGAAAGGGUUUACUGGUCUUGGAUGGGCUCACGGCCUAUCAGCUUGUUGGUGAGGUAAUGGCUCACCAAGGCGACGACGGGUAGCCGGCCUGAGAGGGUGACCGGCCACACUGGGACUGAGACACGGCCCAGACUCCUACGGGAGGCAGCAGUGGGGAAUAUUGCACAAUGGGCGAAAGCCUGAUGCAGCGACGCCGCGUGAGGGAUGACGGCCUUCGGGUUGUAAACCUCUUUCAGCAGGGAAGAAGCCACAAGUGACAGUACCUGCAGAAGAAGCGCCGGCUAACUACG
This 468-nucleotide ribosomal RNA is filed under the name uncultured bacterium. RNAcentral describes it as "partial 16S ribosomal RNA". It matches the Rfam family "Bacterial small subunit ribosomal RNA", at positions 28 to 505 of the family's 1533-position model. The record is from RNAcentral.